Molecule: non-coding RNA, 1268 nt
Organism: Megalopta genalis
Lineage: Eukaryota; Metazoa; Arthropoda; Insecta; Hymenoptera; Halictidae
Source: RefSeq, a predicted model, not a curated record
AGUAUCUUUAUCAGGUGAACAGCGAAACCUCCGAGAAUUGUUUUUCUGGGCAACAAGGCUCGUGCACCUGUUUAUCGCGUCGAAUAACACAAUUUACUGCGUGGUCCACAAUGGUGACGCGUAUACAUACACGCAGUCGGCACAUAUAUAGAAACGGUUGUACACACGAGACGAUACAAGAGAGAGAAAGAGAGAGACAGGCACACGCGGGCGUGUUCACGUGUACACAACACACGCGGAAGCGUGAGCGCGCGCGCACGUUCCUGGCCACUCGUUUGUUUGCUCGUUUGCGAGUACGUUUAGAGGAAAUACGUAGAGAGGUAGAGAAAGAGAGGGACACGCAGGCGACGCACACGCAGGUCGAUGCGAGAACACGCACUUCUCUUUCCACACCCCUGUGUCCCGAGCACUUUACGGAAGGAAACACAGACGAGCGAAACUGACGGUGCUGUUAAUAACCUUGCAGCAACGUGCACGGUUUCUCUGGAUCGGACACGCGCGAAAUUUCUUCAUGAUAAUCGCAUCUGCUCGAGGUACAAAAUUUCGGUCUCCUUUCGUACCCACCAUCCCUCUCUUCCCCGUUCCGCCCGCGUGCGAGCGACAAAUACCGCGUCACUUGUGAUCACGAACCUGUGGCUCGACUAUUCCUCACAAUAAUCGAACUAAAAUUCACUGAAUUCGAUGGUUCCUCCUGUACACGACCACGUUCACAAACGACACGCACGUAUUUGGAACUUUUUUCCGUCACACGCGUAGACAGCUAAAUAGGCGCUCAUGUCCAUCUUGUAAAGGUCAUGUGUAUGGUAAGCUCCGCAGUUGUAAACAAGAUGUACGCAGGCGCUAACCGCUCGAAUGGCGGCGACUCGAUACGCGAUACGCCACGACCGUAAAUACACAUACGUACGAACGUAUUUACGUACACAUGCGGUUGUCUCCUUCGCAGUGGCGUAACCAUCGUGUCGACUAAACACCGCAAUGCGGUGGAUCCUCCCGGAGGUCAUUCAAGUUGCGCUACAUCCUUUCGAGAAAUGUAAGUUAUUGAUGAUAAAAGCCGAGUAGAACGUACCUUUCGAACAGUGCAAGUAGUAAACAAGAUAUUUCCAUAUCUGAUCCCCACUAUUGUUAGAACAAAACACCGAUCGCGUGUAGUUACAUUUCUGGAGCAGUACAUAUUCGGACUUGUUCUUUCAUUAGCAUUGUCGUGGAAAUUUAAAUGAACUCAACCUCUGAUAUUGUUGAUUUAAUAAACAUACGCGAAAAAGAAGUAA